Molecule: long non-coding RNA, 773 nt
Organism: Calliphora vicina (urban bluebottle blowfly)
Lineage: Eukaryota; Metazoa; Arthropoda; Insecta; Diptera; Calliphoridae
Exons: 2
Source: RefSeq, a predicted model, not a curated record
UUUGUUCUUAGUGUGUGUGAAUGUAUGCAUUUUUUUUAUUUCUUUGAGUGGAGUAAUCUGUUACAGAAGUAACAGUGCUGUUACUCUCUAAAUUUACGCUGUUAGCAGAAACGCCGACGUCAUAAAGCCAAUUGGCAAAUUCUGACAGAUUUGUUUUCUUAUUUUCUUUCAUCAAUUUUAUUUUGUACGUACCCCAGUUAAGUUGCAAAUUAGGUGACAAUUUAUUUACUAAUUCUUGUAUAAGCGAAGAAUUAUUUAACUCAUCAUACAUUCCACAGGCCUCUAUUGUGACUUUUAAACCCUGAACUUCGACACCAAAAGAAAAUUUAAUAUUUUCUCUGGCUGGCCAAAUAAAAGCUUAAUUGUUGAAACAGCUGCUGGGACGCAAUUCGGAUGUAUAAGGAUAUGUUGCACUGACUUUAAUGCGUCACCUCGAAGAGCCUUUUGAAGUCUGAUCAGAUUUUCAGCAUCUGUCAAUCCGCACACAGAUGUGGACCAUUCGUACGUCGAAUUAAAAAGGGGCCACUCCUCCGGAUUGCCGGUGAAUAUAGGAAGCUCUUUUGGGACUGUUUGCCGGGAAAUAAUUUGCUGCUGUGUUAAAUGAUUUCUAGAGCUGCUGGGUAUAGGAUUGCCCGUAAAUGAUGGUAAUGACAUUGGGUUAUGCUGUGUGUUGUUGUACAUUUCGCCGGGGGCUGUAUUAUUGGUGUCAUGGCUUACUAAAUUAUAUGUUAACACAUUUUCUCUAAAUAAAGCGUGAUUAUUUUGCUGUUGAA